Molecule: long non-coding RNA, 882 nt
Organism: Centropristis striata (black sea bass)
Lineage: Eukaryota; Metazoa; Chordata; Actinopteri; Perciformes; Serranidae
Exons: 3
Source: RefSeq, a predicted model, not a curated record
AGGCAACCUUUCUCUCCACAACACCUCUGCCGUUGAGUUAUAACCGUCUCGGUGUUGUGACGUGAAUCGUCUCCCAGCAGAAUGUUUUCCCGCCGUCUAACUUAAUAUUUCACUUUUGUGGAUUUCCGCAGAGAAAGCAGCGACACCGGAGCAGAGAAACACCUCCGGACAGCACGGCACCGUUUAUCUGACUCAUUAUUACUCAUUAAAUCCACUGUUUUUGGAUCAAAGUGCUUUUAAAGACAGAUACUCGGCGAGAUCAACUUUAAAACGAGCGAGCUGAGCAGAAUGAUAAAUGACAGAAGCUCCCAGUGAGCUGCUGUAGCGUGAACUGGCCGCUGGGUGGCAGCACUGACCAGCAGCGUCACUGGGCUCCUUGCAAUGCCUCCUGGGAGCUGGGCUCAUCAUCCAGAUGAGAGGAGGAGCAGCAACAGUUGUCCUGCUUCACUGGUUUCUGUUCUAUUUACAGUGAAGAAGUUAAAAUGAAAAUGAAAAUCAAAUAAUCCAGAUGAGAGGAGGAGCAGCAACAGUUGUCCUGCUUCACUGGUUUCUGUUAUAUUUCCAGGUGAGUUACUAACUUUUUAUCUGACUACAGAUGUCUGUAAACUAAUAUGAAUCCCCUGUGAUAUGUGGUUCGGGAGCUAAAAGUGCGUUAAGUGUGUAAAUAUUUAAGUGUCAUGGUACGUGACGGUCGUAGAAAACAGGAACAUUUUUAUUUUUGGUCUGAUACGAAUUUUGAUGAGUUUAUCUUCAUGGAAAUCUGUUAAAAUAGACAUUCACAGGGGUCCAGACUAACUUUUUGCAUUGGUUGCAAUGAAACCCCAACAUUUGGGUGCACCUUAAACUUUGUGCUGGUGCACCUAAAAAAAAAAAUUUUGGCAC